Molecule: long non-coding RNA, 1817 nt
Organism: Nicotiana tabacum (common tobacco)
Lineage: Eukaryota; Viridiplantae; Streptophyta; Magnoliopsida; Solanales; Solanaceae
Source: RefSeq, a predicted model, not a curated record
CACAGGCACAAGAUUGUGCUAGAAAACCUGGGAAAGAGAAAAGGUUGGCCUGUAGUGUGGGGUGACUACAGGCGCCACACGGGCUAUUUGGUGCCGCUAGCGUCCGGAAAAAUGUUGCCCGUGACAGUUUCCUUUCAUUGUUUCUUUCUCCUUCUCUUUCUCUAUUGCAUCCCUCUAUUUUUCUUUUUCCUGAAUCUAUCACAUGUCAAGAGCUUUUUCCUUAGAGGUAUUUAGUUCACAAGAGCAACAUCUGCACUCAAUGUGAUGUCUGAAAACAUUGACAAGAAGCUAUAUUUUUUUGCAGCCAGAUAUGUGCUAUCAAUUGUAAUUUUCACUUUGCAAUGGUUAUGGAUUUGCUGGUGAGAUUAUUCAGUAGAGGAAGGAGAGCUCAUAUUUCUCAAGGAUAACACAGAAAUCAUGCAAAAUCCCCGGCUCUGCUGAUUGCGAGAUGGCAGUAAUUGGCCAAUGUGAUAUGCUUGAUGUCCUGGGAAAACAAAAGAAGGAAGGUUUGUUUGCAUGUAAUUUCCUCUGUCACUCCACUGUAACAUUGAUCUGAGUAUUUAGCCUAGUUAUUUUUUUUUAAGUAUGUGACUUCUUUUUUGUAUUAUGGUGUUUUCUCCUUAGAUAAUUAGUUUAACUGUGUUUCAUGGAGUUUUCCUACUGUGUUUUGCAUUAUUUAGAUAAUAGCAUAGGAAGCCAGUCAAAAUCUACGCAGCUGGUGUGCUUGUGAGCUAUAUUUCUCUUCCUUUGGUUAGAGCAGCAAAAUAGUCUGGAGUGUCAUAACAGUGCGUGAAAAGAUCUUCUCAUAAAUGAGCAGAUGUGUGCGAUGAGUAUUAGCUCUUACUCUUGAAUCAUUGUGUUACGAGUAGAGACAUCAUUGUUCUUUCAACUACCAGAAAUGCAUAGACUAACACUUAUUUUUAGGAAUUUCUUUCUAUUAAUGUUCAAGGGGUAGGCUGCCACUAAUGCUUGCAUUACGAUAGACUGUCUGCAUCACACCCCUUGGGGUGCAACCUUUUGCUGGAGCCUGCGUGAAUGCGGGAUUCUAUGUGCACUGGGUUCCCUUUUUUUAAGGGGUAAUGUAUUUAGCCUUCUGGAUAGAAGUUCAACUGGAAUCUUUUAGAUGGUUUUUAUUUUGUUAUAGAUUAUUUGUGGCUUACUUUUUCCUUUUGCUUCCAUUCUUCUCUUUCUUUUUUUUUCUGUUUUGUAUGAUGAUUCUGUGUACUUCCACACCACAUUAAUUUACUGCAUUAAAAAAUGGAUGAGACUUCAAUUGUUCCCCUCGUAGAAGCUUUCGAUUUGGUAUACAUCAGUAAAGUUUAUCCUCAUACAUCUUUCUUGGUUUAUAGUCGGUUUUUUAUUUUACAGAUUUCUCUCUAUGCCCAUAAUUGCUUCGCUUUUGUUCGUAUUACUCUUAUGUAUGCAGUUCAUUCCAGAUCUUUAACUUGUGAAAUAUACCCAAGGAUCAGUUUCCUCCAAAUGCAUUACUUCUCGAAUCCCUACCCAGCUUAAGGCGUUGAAGGGGGUGCCUACUUGAGAUUUGCUGAUUUUAGUUCUAAUGCAUGUUCAUAUGGGCAUGCAUGUGUAUAGUUGGGUGUUCAUAUUACAUAUGAAUGCAUGUAUUUUUGGAUGUAUUUUGUAUAGAGAAGUGGUGGAUUGAGUGAUUAGAGAGUUGCAAAUGAUGUGAUUGCAAAUAGAUUAUUACAUGCAUUAGAGUGUAUGAUAACGUUGCAGUUGAUGAUGGAUCAAGAAAAGGCAGGAAUGUAUUGAACUUGAUUACGGUUUUACCAAGCAAAUUAUAGUAUCAGAUUAUGCUU